UACGUAGGGUCCGAGCGUUGUCCGGAAUUACUGGGCGUAAAGAGCUCGUAGGUGGUUUGUCGCGUUGUUCGUGAAAACCGGGGGCUUAACCCUCGGCGUGCGGGCGAUACGGGCAGACUUGAGUACUGCAGGGGAGACUGGAAUUCCUGGUGUAGCGGUGGAAUGCGCAGAUAUCAGGAGGAACACCAGUGGCGAAGGCGGUUGCCUGGGGCUUUGCUGACGCUGAUGCGCGAAAGCGUGGGGAGCGAUCCGG
This 253-nucleotide ribosomal RNA is filed under the name uncultured bacterium. RNAcentral describes it as "partial 16S ribosomal RNA". It matches the Rfam family "Bacterial small subunit ribosomal RNA", at positions 524 to 776 of the family's 1533-position model. The record is from RNAcentral.